RNAcentral lists this ribosomal RNA (508 nucleotides) under uncultured bacterium. RNAcentral's name for it is "bacterial SSU rRNA". It matches the Rfam family "Bacterial small subunit ribosomal RNA", at positions 9 to 512 of the family's 1533-position model. The record is from RNAcentral.
GAGUUUGAUCAUGGCUCAGAUUGAACGCUGGCGGCAGGCCUAACACAUGCAAGUCGAGCGGUAGAGAGAAGCUUGCUUCUCUUGAGAGCGGCGGACGGGUGAGUAAUGCCUAGGAAUCUGCCUGGUAGUGGGGGAUAACGCUCGGAAACGGACGCUAAUACCGCAUACGUCCUACGGGAGAAAGCAGGGGACCUUCGGGCCUUGCGCUAUCAGAUGAGCCUAGGUCGGAUUAGCUAGUUGGUGAGGUAAUGGCUCACCAAGGCGACGAUCCGUAACUGGUCUGAGAGGAUGAUCAGUCACACUGGAACUGAGACACGGUCCAGACUCCUACGGGAGGCAGCAGUGGGGAAUAUUGGACAAUGGGCGAAAGCCUGAUCCAGCCAUGCCGCGUGUGUGAAGAAGGUCUUCGGAUUGUAAAGCACUUUAAGUUGGGAGGAAGGGCAGUAAAUUAAUACUUUGCUGUUUUGACGUUACCGACAGAAUAAGCACCGGCUAACUCUGUGCCAGC